CAAUAGCGUAUAUUAAAGUUGUUGCAGUUAAAAGCUCGUAGUUGGAUUUCUGUUCUCGAGGAUCGGUCCGCCUCACGGUGAGCACUGGUUUUUCUUGGGGACAUCCUCUCGAAGGCGGGUGGUGCACUUAAUUGUGUGCUGCUUGGAUUCGGGACCUUUACUUUGAAAAAUUAGAGUGUUCAAAGCAGGCAGUACGCCUGAAUAAUGGUGCAUGGAAUAAUGGAAUAGGACCUCGGUUCUAUUUUGUUGGUUUUCGGAACUUGAGGUAAUGAUAAAGAGGGACAGACGGGGGCAUUCGUAUUACGGUGUUAGAGGUGAAAUUCUUGGAUCGCCGUAAGACGAACUACUGCGAAAGCAUUUGCCAAGCAUGUUUUCCUUAAUCAAGAACGAAAGUCAGAGGUUCGAAGACGAUCAGAUACCAU
Molecule: ribosomal RNA, 422 nt
Filed under: uncultured eukaryote
Lineage: Eukaryota
Description: bacterial SSU rRNA
Rfam family: Eukaryotic small subunit ribosomal RNA
Source: RNAcentral